Molecule: ribosomal RNA, 480 nt
Filed under: uncultured bacterium
Lineage: Bacteria
Description: partial 16S ribosomal RNA
Rfam family: Bacterial small subunit ribosomal RNA
Source: RNAcentral
AUUGAACGCUGGCGGCAGGCUUAACACAUGCAAGUCGAACGAUGAGUCUCUAGCUUGCUCGAGAUGAUUAGUGGCGGACGGGUGAGUAACAUUUAGGAAUCUACCUAGUAGUGGGGGAUAGCUCGGGGAAACUCGAAUUAAUACCGCAUACGACCUACGGGUGAAAGGGGGCGCAAGCUCUUGCUAUUAGAUGAGCCUAAAUCAGAUUAGCUAGUUGGUGGGGUAAAGGCCCACCAAGGCGACGAUCUGUAACUGGUCUGAGAGGAUGAUCAGUCACACCGGAACUGAGACACGGUCCGGACUCCUACGGGAGGCAGCAGUGGGGAAUAUUGGACAAUGGGGGCAACCCUGAUCCAGCCAUGCCGCGUGUGUGAAGAAGGCCUUUUGGUUGUAAAGCACUUUAAGCAGGGAGGAGAGGCUAAUGGUUAAUACCCAUUAGAUUAGACGUUACCUGCAGAAUAAGCACCGGCUAACUCUGUG